RNAcentral lists this transfer RNA (72 nucleotides) under Bacteroidota bacterium. Its description in RNAcentral is "Bacteroidetes bacterium (activated sludge metagenome) tRNA-Gln". It matches the Rfam family "tRNA". From Rfam's summary of the family: Transfer RNA (tRNA) molecules are approximately 80 nucleotides in length. Their secondary structure includes four short double-helical elements and three loops (D, anti-codon, and T loops). The record is from RNAcentral. Lineage: Bacteria; Pseudomonadati; Bacteroidota.
UGCCGGAUGGCCGAUCGGUUUAGGCACUGGCCUUUGAAGCCAGCGAGGUUGGUUCGACUCCAACUCCGGCAU